Long non-coding RNA from Cotesia glomerata, 583 nucleotides. RefSeq lists it as uncharacterized. The record is from RefSeq and is a predicted model, not a curated record. The transcript has 3 exons. Lineage: Eukaryota; Metazoa; Arthropoda; Insecta; Hymenoptera; Braconidae.
AAGACUAACGAUAAGGUAAUUUUGAUCAUUAUUCAGAUAGACAGCAACUUGUGCAACUCGUGGUCAAUUUUUUCUAAUAAAUAAUUUUUGAUUGUGAGUAAUACACCUGAUAUAAUUGAUAGACUAAGCAGCUGCUAGAUUCUAGACUAAUUAUUUUAAACAACUAAUUACUCAAUGUGAAUUUUUUGUGAAUUCAAACUGCCAGUGUAGAUAGAUGAAGUAAUUAUUAUUCAAAAUCAAACGAUAAAGUUUCAUUCAAAGUUUAAAUUGUUGGGGCGAGACUUUGCUAGUGGGUCUAAUACAAGAACAAGAUAAAUUGCCUGCUAAUUCACGAGAAAUCAGUUUUGUAAUCCAAGAGACUGCGAUCAAAUUCUGUGUUCAAAAUCAUCGAUCGUCGGCUUUCAUCAUUAAUCCAUCAAUAUAACGAGUAAAUUAAAUCUCAUAUUUAUGCUCAAAUAAUUUAUUUAUAAUUUUUUCAAUUAAAAUACAAUAAAUCAUCAUGCUUCCGUGGUGGAGCUUGUUGGUACUUGUGGUAGUCGUAAUGUUGACAUUUUGGGUGAUCAAAUCUUUUAAACAAUGUUAU